RNAcentral lists this unclassified non-coding RNA (200 nucleotides) under Ascomycota sp. RNAcentral describes it as "partial internal transcribed spacer 2". The record is from RNAcentral. Lineage: Eukaryota; Fungi; Ascomycota.
UUAAGUUCAGCGGGUAUCCCUACCUGAUCCGAGGCCAUGCUUUCGGAGAUGGGCCACCCCUCAGGACUCCUCGCCGCAUUUCUCUGCGUUUCGAAGCCAUGAAGGGCGCCGAUGUGUUUGGAAGGACCCUACCGGGGAACUUCAACGCAAGGCGAAGCCUCAGACACAAACGGCGCUCGAACAGGUAUACCUCAAGGAUU